RNAcentral lists this unclassified non-coding RNA (336 nucleotides) under soil metagenome. RNAcentral describes it as "partial contains 5.8S ribosomal RNA, internal transcribed spacer 2, and large subunit ribosomal RNA". The stretch from base 1 to 120 matches the Rfam family "5.8S ribosomal RNA", at positions 35 to 154 of the family's 154-position model. The record is from RNAcentral.
GAUGAAGAACGCAGCGAAAUGCGAUAAGUAAUGUGAAUUGCAGAAUUCAGUGAAUCAUCGAAUCUUUGAACGCACAUUGCGCCCGCCAGUAUUCUGGCGGGCAUGCCUGUUCGAGCGUCAUUUCAACCAUCAAGCCCCCGGGCUUGUGUUGGGGACCUGCGGCUGCCGCAGGCCCUGAAAACCAGUGGCGGGCUCGCUAGUCACUCCGAGCGUAGUAAUACAUCUCGCUCAGGGCGUGCUGCGGGUUCCGGCCGUUAAAAAGCCUUAUUUACCCAAGGUUGACCUCGGAUCAGGUAGGAAGACCCGCUGAACUUAAGCAUAUCAAUAAGCGGAGGA